Non-coding RNA from Coturnix japonica (Japanese quail), 1132 nucleotides. The record is from RefSeq and is a predicted model, not a curated record. Lineage: Eukaryota; Metazoa; Chordata; Aves; Galliformes; Phasianidae.
CUCAUAAGGCUUGUGCUUAGGCAACAUUUAUUAAUAUUUCUGUUUUAUGUUUUGUGAUUAAAUUCACGCAGGUGGUGUCCAGAGCUCUUAUACAAUCUUGUUGCGGUGCAUGAUUUGAAAAAGCUGAUUAAAAGAGGAAUGGAAAAAUAGCAGCAAACUUAAUUUGACUCUUCUAAUUAGCGUAAUAAUUUCCUUUAAAUUUCAUCCUUUCAGGUAAAAGACAAUGGAAUUUUUCUGAUAACAUGAAGAGCUGGUAGAUGAUGGGAUUUUUCUUUCUUAUUCAUACUUUUUUCUCUCCUCCUUUGAAUUUGGAGGGAAAGAUGUUUCAGCUAAAGACUGUUUCUAUGGACAAAAAACAAAACAAAACAAAAAAAAAAAAAACAACCCCAAACCAAAAAAACUUCAACUGUGUUUCUACAAGUUUGUGUGUGGUUUAUUUUUUGUCAAAGAGAAUUUUAAAUAGCUCCAAAGUUCUUAAAUCUUUAACAGUCUAUAAAAUAAGAAUUAUUAUUUAUUUUUUUUAGACUACCAAAACAUUCAGCUCUGUUCUCUUUCAUCCACUGUGGCCUUAAUGUGUAAAGCUGUCAAACUAGAAAUAUCCUCUCACUAAGGAAAACUAUGCUGUUAGCUUCUAAGUAGUUAGCUGUCUUUAAAGACAAAGCUACUACAUAUUAUAAUCUGUGUACCUGAUGACAAAGUUCUCGUUAUUGUGUUACGAGAGGAAAUGUCUUGUUGCAGUAAUGAAAUUUAACUCUGUGGGUCAAAUUAUGUUAUUCUCACUGUUAAUUUUUAGGUGUUACAUGAGAGUCUCAUCUACUUUCUCCCAAAAUUAAGAAGUUGACUAUUAAGAUAGCAGUUCCUGCUCUAAAAAGGUGAAAUAUAAAUAAGGGAUACCAAGGUGCUGAUGGGAUGGAAUAUACCCAGAGUUUACCUUGAGAUUCAGAAUAACUUUUUGGCAACGCUGCCUGCUUGGAGUCCGUGACUGUUACUUCAGCGUAAUCAGAAGAGGAAUGCCUCCACAUUCCAUGUAUUAAACACGUGGAAAGAUCUCUGUAAGGUGGGUAGGUCUGUCUUCGUGUUCUGUGUGUUUGCUCAGUAGUUUUCUGUUUUUACUUCGUAGCAACAAUGUUUU